This 83-nucleotide non-coding RNA is filed under the name pig gut metagenome. RNAcentral's name for it is "TPP riboswitch (THI element)". The stretch from base 3 to 75 matches the Rfam family "TPP riboswitch aptamer (THI element)", at positions 9 to 90 of the family's 105-position model. From Rfam's summary of the family: Vitamin B(1) in its active form thiamin pyrophosphate (TPP) is an essential coenzyme that is synthesised by coupling of pyrimidine and thiazole moieties in bacteria. The previously detected thiamin-regulatory element, thi box was extended, resulting in a new, highly conserved RNA secondary structure, the THI element, which is widely distributed in eubacteria and also occurs in some archaea. The record is from RNAcentral.
AGCCAGGGGUGCUGACCUUGUGUCGGCUGAGAUGAUACCCUCUGACCUGAUCCGGAUAAUGCCGGCGUAGGAAGGAUAAUAAA